CAGUUCGGAUUGCAGGCUGCAACUCGCCUGUAUGAAGUCGGAAUUGCUAGUAAUCGCGGAUCAGCAUGCCGCGGUGAAUACGUUCCCGGGCCUUGUACACACCGCCCGUCACACCAUGAGAGUCGGGAACACCCGAAGUCCGUAGUCUAACCGCAAGGAGGGCGCGGCCGAAGGUGGGCUUGAUAAUUGGGGUGAAGUCGUAACAAGGUAUC
Molecule: ribosomal RNA, 212 nt
Filed under: uncultured bacterium
Lineage: Bacteria
Description: partial 16S ribosomal RNA
Rfam family: Bacterial small subunit ribosomal RNA
Source: RNAcentral